CAUUGAAACAUCAGUUCCCGUACGAUCACCAAAGUUAAGCAACGUCGAGCCUGGUCAGUACUUACAUGGAUGACUGCUUGGGGACAUCAGGUGUUGCAA
Acanthosepion pharaonis is the source of this 99-nucleotide non-coding RNA. Lineage: Eukaryota; Metazoa; Mollusca; Cephalopoda; Sepiida; Sepiidae. The record is from the annotation of a GenBank genome assembly.